AAGGGUAGUUGUGCAUAUUGGUCCAAGACAGAUCAGAGUGGGAAAAAAAGAAAGAGAAAGGAAAGUUCUCUUCAAGAGCUGCAAAUGAUCAAAAUCCAAGGGCCGCUCACCAAAUUAGAGAAGUUGAAGAUGUUUUUGGUCAAAGUAAUACAAAAACAAUGUGAUAUGAGGCGUCAAUGGUAGCUUUUGAUUUGGCACAGGGUUAACUUUUUCUCUCUUCAAGAUCUGAAUUUUGGGUACAAGAAUUCUGCUUUCAGGGAACAGAGGAAGUGGACCAAUCCCUUACUAAAGAGAUGCUCACUUUACGGUAAAAGCUGAAUAUUUCUUGUUGGUUGCUGUCAGAAUGGUUGACGGUUGUUGAAUUACUAUCUGAGUGAAGUUCAUCAAAAUUAAGUGGUUGGGAAACCUUUUCUCUCUUCAACAUUUGGUACUUAUUUGGAUGCAAGUGGAUGCCAUGUAUUGGCUCACCAAUUUGCAACACCUAUUCAUUCAUAACUGCCUCAAGUUAAAUGAUAGAAGUGCUGAGAGUAUCAGCCAAUUCUGGUCCAAUGACAGGGAAUGGAUUAAAGAGGAAGCUGUUUGAAGUUAACACAUAUAUUAUUACAACAAUGCCAAAUUCUAUUAUAUUCAGUUGGAAGAACAAUUAAUUAAUUUAUGAUUGAACAAAGCUGAUGAAUGUGCUCCCAUACAAUGCCUCACUGCAUUAUUACAUCAUCAAGAUGAAGUUUAUGUGAUAUCAGGAAAUGUUGGUGGAAGACGUGGUAGUAUUUCAACCUAGGUCCUCUAAUGCGUGAACAGGAUUCUUCACCAUUCUAAAGCCCUGUUCAAUCAGCCAAACUUUGACACCUAGGUGCAUUCUUAGUUUGAGGCGUCAUAUUUUUGAGCUGUGCAGAUGAGCUCUCAAUGGAAGCUUCUGAUUUGGUGCAUGAUUAAAUUUUUUUCUCUCUCUUCAAGAGCUGAAUUUUGGGUACAAGAAUGCUACUUUUGGGCAGCAAAGGAAGAGAUCUAAUCCCUUACUAAAGAGAUGCUCUCCGGUGUUAUUCAGAGUGGUCGAUAAUUUGCCAGAAGUUAUUACCAUGUUAUGCUCACUUUACAGUAAAAGCUGGAUAUUUUUUAUUGGUUGCUGCCAGAAUGGUUAAUGAUUGCUCCUGGUCUAAUGGAGUGUUGAUUUGAGUGUUAUCUGGUUGAAGUUCAUCAAAAAUUGAGUGGUUGGGCAACCUUUUCUCUCUUCAACACUUUGUACUUAUUUGGACGCAAGAACUUUUUUUAUCUGGCCUAAAGUGGAUGCCAUGUAACAGCUCACCAAAUUGCAACACCUAUUCAUUCAUAACUGCCUCAAGAUAAAUGAUAGAAGUGCUGAGAGUUAUUGACCAAUUCUGGUCCAAUGACGAGGAAUGAAUUAAAGAGGAAGCUGUUUGAAGUUCACACAUAUAUUAUCACAACAAUGUGUGGUCAGUUAUCUCAAACUUAAUCCUC
Molecule: long non-coding RNA, 1476 nt
Organism: Quercus lobata
Lineage: Eukaryota; Viridiplantae; Streptophyta; Magnoliopsida; Fagales; Fagaceae
Exons: 8
Source: RefSeq, a predicted model, not a curated record